CGCUGGCGGCAUGCCUAACACAUGCAAGUCGAACGGCAGCACAGUGGUAGCAAUACCAUGGGUGGCGAGUGGCGGACGGGUGAGUAAUGCAUCGGGACCUACCCAGACGUGGGGGAUAACAUAGGGAAACUUACGCUAAUACCGCAUACGUCCUACGGGAGAAAGCGGGGGAUCUUCGGACCUCGCGCGGUUGGACGGACCGACGUUCGAUUAGCUAGUUGGUAGGGUAAUGGCCUACCAAGGCGACGAUCGAUAGCUGGUCUGAGAGGAUGAUCAGCCACACUGGAACUGAGGCACGGUCCAGACUCCUACGGGAGGCAGCAGUGGGGAAUAUUGGACAAUGGGCGCAAGCCUGAUCCAGCAAUGCCGCGUGUGUGAAGAAGGCCUUCGGGUUGUAAAGCACUUUUAUCGGGAGCGAAAUACCUUGGGUUAAUAACCCGUGGGGCUGACGGUACCCGAGGAAUAAGCACCGGCUAACUUCGUGCCAGCAGCCGCGGUAAUACGAAGGGUGCAAGCGUUAAUCGGAAUUACUGGGCGUAAAGGGUGCGUAGGCGGUUUGUUAAGUCUGUCGUGAAAUCCCCGGGCUCAACCUGGGAAUGGCGAUGGAUACUGGCAAGCUAGAGUGUGUCAGAGGAUGGUGGAAUUUCCGGUGUAGCGGUGAAAUGCGUAGAGAUCGGAAGGAACAUCAGUGGCGAAGGCGGCCAUCUGGGACAACACUGACGCUGAAGCACGAAAGCGUGGGGAGCAAACAGGAUUAGAUACCCUGGUAGUCCACGCCCUAAACGAUGCGAACUGGAUGUUGGUCUCAACUCGGAGAUCAGUGUCGAAGCAGGCU
Molecule: ribosomal RNA, 835 nt
Filed under: uncultured bacterium
Lineage: Bacteria
Description: bacterial SSU rRNA
Rfam family: Bacterial small subunit ribosomal RNA
Source: RNAcentral